Molecule: ribosomal RNA, 254 nt
Filed under: uncultured bacterium
Lineage: Bacteria
Description: partial 16S ribosomal RNA
Rfam family: Bacterial small subunit ribosomal RNA
Source: RNAcentral
UACGUAGGGGGCGAGCGUUGUCCGAAGUUACUGGGCGUAAAGGGCGCGCAGGCGGCUGCUCAAGUCAGGCGUGAAAGGCCUGGGCUCAACCCGGGAAUUGCGCUUGAGACUGGGCUGGCUUGAGUGCGGGAGAGGAUGGUGGAAUUCCCAGUGUAGAGGUGAAAUUCGUAGAUAUUGGGAAGAACACCGGUGGCGAAGGCGGCCAUCUGGACCGCAACUGACGCUGAGGCGCGAAAGCGUGGGGAGCAAACAGG